ACUCGAUUGCCUUUUUCAUCAAUUUGCGGGGAGCGUCUGUCACCGCGGCCCCUCGAGCCAGACCCCGCCGGCCCGACCCCUGGGGGUCAAAGGUCAGCCGGCCACUCUGCCAUUACCGCGGCUCAUCAACACCCGGCGAACCAGACUCCAUUUUAAUUACGCGAUGCAGGCUACGGGGAAUUGUCAGCUCUUGUCCCGCUAGCUGUUGCCGUGGUGACCGGUGUGGAGAUAAUAGCAGUUAAUGAGAUAUUAACCCCGAAUAAGGAAGAAGACAGGAAGUGAUGAGCGUUUGCUGGAAAGACUAAAGACAGGAUUCGUCAAUGGAUGACCCCUUCCAGAUCAAUAUUGUUCUGUUAUUCGGCGUAGGUAACAAGCAGCGCGACCCCGUCCCUUUGAGACUGAGGAGCAAAUAACCACAAUCAAAGGAUGGCGCCGGCAAGCGUCUCCCUCCGAGUCCUUGCACACCAAUCUCGUCAUCCCAGAGGUUCAAAGAUGAAGAUUGGUGAGCUGAAAGAGCAAUGGAUGGAUUCAAACCUGUACUUUCCAGGAAGUUAACAAGUUAAGGUUCAAGGCUGUGUCCAAAAACAACAGGUUUGGUUUGAAAGGUAAGAGAAUCUAUUUUAGUAUCCUGUCGUCCUGCUGUCUGUUCAUGGGUGUGUGUUUUUUGUGUGUGUGUGACUGAUCAGAAGUCCACUAUGGCCUAUAAGCCAACGAUGUCAGACAAAGCAACCACCGCAGCAGGUUGCAGAGUAGUUAUAAAGGGAUAGACAUUACAGAAGGGAAAAAGAACAUAUUGCUAUUGAUGAGACCCGCCGUGCGCCAUAUUCUUCACCUCUCCUUCAAAUCCACGCACACCUCCC
This 860-nucleotide long non-coding RNA is filed under the name Sparus aurata (gilthead seabream). Its description in RNAcentral is "lncRNA (ENSSAUG00010001034.1)". Lineage: Eukaryota; Metazoa; Chordata; Actinopteri; Spariformes; Sparidae. The record is from RNAcentral.